UACGGAGGGUGCAAGCGUUGUUCGGAAUUAUUGGGCGUAAAGCGCGUGCAGGCGGUUGCUUAAGUCUGAUGUGAAAGCCCUGGGCUCAACCCGGGAAGUGCAUUGGAAACUGGGCAACUUGAGUACGGGAGAGGAUAGUGGAAUUCCUAGUGUAGGAGUGAAAUCCGUAGAUAUUAGGAGGAACACCGGUGGCGAAGGCGGCUACCUGGACCGAUAUUGACGCUGAGGUGCGAAAGCGUGGGGAGCAAACAGGAUUAGAAACCCCGGUAGU
RNAcentral lists this ribosomal RNA (271 nucleotides) under uncultured bacterium. RNAcentral describes it as "partial 16S ribosomal RNA". It matches the Rfam family "Bacterial small subunit ribosomal RNA", at positions 524 to 794 of the family's 1533-position model. The record is from RNAcentral.